UUAAAGAUUAAGCCCAUGCAUGUGUAAGUACAAUGUUUUAAACAUGAAACCGCGGAAAGCUCAUUAUAACAGCUAUAGACUACACGGUAAAUAUUUUAGUUGGAUAACUGAGGUAAUUCUUGAGCUAAUACACGCUAUUUAUACCACAUUAGUGGUGCGUUUAUUUGAUUAAACCAUUAUAACGGUUGACUCAAAAUAUCCUUGCUGAUUUUGUUACUAAAACAUACCGUAUGUGUAUCUGGUUUAUCAACUUUCGAUGGUAGGGUAUUGGCCUACCAUGGUUGUGACGGAUAACGGAGAAUUAGGGUUCGACUCCGGAGAGGGAGCCUGAGAAACGGCUACCACAUCCAAGGAAGGCAGCAGGCACGAAAAUUACCCAAUUUUAGUUCAAAGAGGUAGUGACGAAAAAUGACAACCAAAUAUUAUUAUUUCUAUUUGGAUUGAAAAUCUUCAAGUUUAAAUAACUUGUUGGUAAAGGAAAGGGCAAGUCUGGUGCCAGCAGCCGCGGUAAUACCAGCUUUCCAAGUGCAUAAAAUGAUUGUUGUGGUUAAAAAGCUCGUAGUUGGAUUAUAAAGAUUGUAUAAUGAGCAUCUUGGAUGUUUUAAUUUCAUUAUCAUCUUAUUAUUUUUAUUAUAUACCUUUAUCAGUAUAUAAUAAACUGUUACUUUGAAUAAAUCAGAGGGUUUAAACCAGGCAUUUAUAUGCUUGUAUGGUCUAGCAUGGAAUAACACUAUAGAAAAAGUUAGUGUGGUUUCACUAAUCUUUUUCAUGAUUAAUAGGAACAAACGGGGGCAUUCGUAUCGCUACGUUAGAGGUGAAAUUCUUGGACCGUAGCGAGACGUCCUACUGCGAAAGCAUUUGCCAAGAAUGUUUUCAUUAAUCAAGAACGAAAGUUAGAGGUUCGAAGGCGAUCAGAUACCGCCCUAGUUCUAACCGUAAACUAUGCCUACUAGGUGUAUGAAUUAUUAGUUAUAAUAAUUUAUGCACCUUCUCGGAAACGAAAGUCUUUCGGUUCCGGGGGAAGUAUGGUUGCAAAGCUGAAACUUAAAGGAAUUGACGGAAGGGCACCACCAGGAGUGGAGCCUGCGGCUUAAUUUGACUCAACACGGGAAAACUCACCCGGGCCGGACACUAUAAGGAUUGACAGAUUGAUAGCUCUUUCAUGAUUUAGUGGUUGGUGGUGCAUGGCCGUUCUUAGUUCGUGGAUAGAUUUGUCUGGUUGAUUCCGAUAACGAGCGAGACUUUUAUGUUAUAUU
RNAcentral lists this ribosomal RNA (1256 nucleotides) under Strongyloides sp. TA-2010. RNAcentral's name for it is "SSU rRNA". It matches the Rfam family "Eukaryotic small subunit ribosomal RNA", at positions 37 to 1355 of the family's 1831-position model. Lineage: Eukaryota; Metazoa; Nematoda; Chromadorea; Rhabditida; Strongyloididae. The record is from RNAcentral.